GACGAACGCUGGCAGCGUGCUUAACACAUGCAAGUCGAACGGUAAGGCCCUUCGGGGUACACGAGUGGCGAACGGGUGAGUAACACGUGGGUGAUCUGCCCUGCACUUCGGGAUAAGCCUGGGAAACUGGGUCUAAUACCGGAUAGGACCACUGCCUGCAUGGGUGGUGGUGGAAAGCUUUUGCGGUGUGGGAUGGGCCCGCGGCAUAUCAGCUUGUUGGGGGGGUGAUGGCCUACCAAGGCGACGACGGGUAGCCGGCCUGAGGGGGUGACCGGCCACACUGGGCCUGAGAUACGGACCAGCCUCCUACGGGAGGCAGCAGUGGGGAAUAUUGCACAAUGGGCGCAAGCCUGAUGCAGCGACGCCGCGUGAGGGAUGACGGCCUUCGGGUUGUAAACCUCUUUCAGCACCGACGAAGCGCAGGUGACGGUAGGUGCAGAAGAAGGACCGGCCAACUACGUGCCAGCCGCCGCCGUAA
This 478-nucleotide ribosomal RNA is filed under the name uncultured bacterium. Its description in RNAcentral is "partial 16S ribosomal RNA". It matches the Rfam family "Bacterial small subunit ribosomal RNA", at positions 28 to 523 of the family's 1533-position model. The record is from RNAcentral.